GACGAACGCUGGCGGCGUGCCUAAUACAUGCAAGUCGAACGCAGUGGGGACGGGUGAGUAACACGUGGGUAACCUCCCAUCAGAGGGGAUAACACUUGGAAACAGGUGCUAAACCGAUACUGAUGGAUGGACCCGCGUUGCAUGAGCUAGGUGGUGAGGUAACGGCCCACCAAGGCGACGAUGCAUAGCCGGUCUGGGAGGGUGAUCAGCCAAACUGGAACUGGAACACGGGCCAGACGCCGACGGGAGGCAGCAGUAGGGAAUGUUCGGCAAUGGACGAAAGCCUGACCCAGCAACGACGCGUGAGUGAAGAAGGUUUUCGGUUCGUAAAGCUCUGUUGUUGGGGAGGCGGUAUCUAACCAGAAAGCCACGGCUAACUACGUGCCAGCAGCCGCGGUAAUAC
Molecule: ribosomal RNA, 403 nt
Filed under: uncultured bacterium
Lineage: Bacteria
Description: partial 16S ribosomal RNA
Rfam family: Bacterial small subunit ribosomal RNA
Source: RNAcentral